AUUGAACGCUGGCGGCAGGCCUAACACAUGCAAGUCGAGCGCGAAAACACUUCGGUGUGAGUAGAGCGGCGGACGGGUGAGUAAUGCUUGGGAAUCUGCCCAGUAGUGGGGGAUAACGUGUGGAAACGCACGCUAAUACCGCAUACGUCCUACGGGAGAAAGCAGGGGAUCUUCGGACCUUGCGCUAUUGGAUGAGCCCAAGUCAGAUUAGCUAGUUGGUGAGGUAAUGGCUCACCAAGGCGACGAUCUGUAGCUGGUCUGAGAGGAUGAUCAGCCACACUGGGACUGAGACACGGCCCAGACUCCUACGGGAGGCAGCAGUGGGGAAUAUUGCACAAUGGGCGAAAGCCUGAUGCAGCCAUGCCGCGUGUGUGAAGAAGGCUCUAGGGUUGUAAAGCACUUUCAGUGGGGAGGAAAAGUUUAAGAUUAAUACUCUUGAACCUUGACGUUACCUGCAGAAGAAGCACCGGCAAACUCCGUGCCAGCAGCCGCGGUAAUACGGAGGGUGCGAGCGUUAAUCGGAAUUACUGGGCGUAAAGCGCGCGUAGGUGGUUUGAUAAGCUAGCUGUGAAAGCCCCGGGCUCAACCUGGGAACUGCAGUUAGAACUGUCUGGCUAGAGUAUAGUAGAGGGUGGCGGAAUUUCCUGUGUAGCGGUGAAAUGCGUAGAUAUAGGAAGGAACAUCAGUGGCGAAGGCGGCCACCUGGACUAAUA
RNAcentral lists this ribosomal RNA (713 nucleotides) under bacterium IMCC7548. RNAcentral's name for it is "bacterial SSU rRNA". It matches the Rfam family "Bacterial small subunit ribosomal RNA", at positions 28 to 739 of the family's 1533-position model. The record is from RNAcentral.